AGCAGUAGCCACGGUAAUACGAAGGGUGCAAGCGUUACUCGGAAUUACUGGGCGUAAAGCGUGCGUAGGUGGUGGUUUAAGUCCGUUGUGAAAGCCCUGGGCUCAACCUGGGAAUUGCAGUGGAUACUGGGUCACUAGAGUGUGGUAGAGGAUAGUGGAAUUUCCGGUGUAGCAGUGAAAUGCGUAGAGAUCGGAAGGAACAUCUGUGGCGAAGGCGACUAUCUGGGCCAACACUGACACUGAGGCACGAAAGCGUGGGGAGCAAACAGGAUUAGAUACCCCAGUAGUCCCUGUCUCUUAUAA
RNAcentral lists this ribosomal RNA (303 nucleotides) under uncultured bacterium. RNAcentral's name for it is "partial 16S ribosomal RNA". It matches the Rfam family "Bacterial small subunit ribosomal RNA", at positions 507 to 809 of the family's 1533-position model. The record is from RNAcentral.